This 1515-nucleotide ribosomal RNA is filed under the name uncultured prokaryote. RNAcentral's name for it is "partial 16S ribosomal RNA". It matches the Rfam family "Bacterial small subunit ribosomal RNA". The record is from RNAcentral.
ACCAGAUAGAGUUUGAUCCUGGCUCAGAACGAACGCUGGCGGCGUGCUUAACACAUGCAAGUCGAGCGAGAACGGUUUCCUUCGGGGAGCUUAGUAGAGCGGCAGACGGGUGAGUAACACGUGGGUAACCUGCCCCUGAGCGGGGGAUAACCACUCGAAAGGGUGGCUAAUACCGCAUAAGACCACGACCUUGCGGGGUUGAGGUCAAAGGCUUCGGCCACUUGGGGAGGGGCCCGCGCCCGAUUAGCUCGUUGGUGGGGUAACGGCCUACCAAGGCGACGAUCGGUAGCUGGUCUGAGAGGAUGAUCAGCCACACUGGUACUGAGACACGGACCAGACUCCUACGGGAGGCAGCAGUGGGGAAUAUUGGACAAUGGGCGCAAGCCUGAUCCAGCAAUGCCGCGUGUGUGAAGAAGGCCUGCGGGUUGUAAAGCACUUUUAUCGGGAUAGAAAAACCCAGGGUUAAUAACCCUGGCAUUUGACGGUACCCGAACAAUAAGCACCGGCUAACUCCGUGCCAGCAGCCGCGCGGUAAUACGGAGGGUGCAAGCGUUAAUCGGAAUUACUGGGCGUAAAGCGAGUGUAGGCGGCUGCGUAAGUCGGAUGUGAAAGCCCCGGGCUUAACCUGGGAAUUGCAUUCGAUACUGCGUAGCUAGAGUCUGAUAGAGGGAAGUGGAAUUCCGGGUGUAGCGGUGAAAUGCGUAGAUAUCCGGAGGAACACCAGUGGCGAAGGCGGCUUCCUGGAUCAACACUGACGCUGAGGCUCGAAAGCGUGGGGAGCAAACAGGAUUAGAUCCCCUGGUAGCCCACGCCCUAAACGAUGUCAACUAGACGUUGGGUUCAUUAUGGAACUUAGUGUCGAAGCUAACGCGUUAAGUUGACCGCCUGGGGAGUACGGCCGCAAGGUUGAAACUCAAAGGAAUUGACGGGGGCCCGCACAAGCGGUGGAGCAUUGUGGUUUAAUUCGAUGCAACGCGAAGAACCUUACCAGCCCUUGACAUCCUCGGAACUUGGCAGAGAUGCCUUGGUGCCUUCGGGAAUCGAGUGACAGGUGCUGCAUGGCUGUCGUCAGCUCGUGUCGUGAGAUGUUGGGUUAAGUCCCGCAACGAGCGCAACCCUUGGCCCUAGUUGCCAGCACUUCGGGUGGGAACUCUAGGGAGAAUGCCGGUGAUAAACCGGAGGAAGGUGGGGAUGACGUCAAGGCAUCAUGGCCCUUAUGGGCUGGGCUACACACGUGCUACAAUGGUCGGUACAGCGGCCCGCAAUCCCGCGAGGGGGAGCCAAUCCCACAAAGCCGAUCUUAGUCCGGAUCGCAGUCUGCAACUCGACUGCGUGAAGUUGGAAUCGCUAGUAAUCGCGAAUCAGCAAUGUCGCGGUGAAUACGUUCCCGGGCCUUGUACACCCCGCCCGUCACACCAUGGGAGUGGGUUGCACCAGAAGUAGCUAGCUUAACCUUCGGGAGAGCGGUUACCACGGUGUGAUUCAUGACUGGGGUGAAGUCGUAACAAGGUAACC